RNAcentral lists this transfer RNA (32 nucleotides) under Ameca splendens. RNAcentral's name for it is "partial tRNA-Asn". RNAcentral also lists the same sequence under 1 other name. The record is from RNAcentral. Lineage: Eukaryota; Metazoa; Chordata; Actinopteri; Cyprinodontiformes; Goodeidae.
AGAAGUUGCAGGAUCGAGGCCUGUCUAUCUAG